Long non-coding RNA from Syngnathoides biaculeatus (alligator pipefish), 364 nucleotides. RefSeq lists it as uncharacterized. Lineage: Eukaryota; Metazoa; Chordata; Actinopteri; Syngnathiformes; Syngnathidae. The record is from RefSeq and is a predicted model, not a curated record. The transcript is spliced from 3 exons.
CGCAUUUUGCUGGUUGGUUAGUCUAAAUUCACCCGUAAUAAAAUGCAUAGGCUAAGUACCAGCUGUGAAUUGGCUCAAGUGUAAUAUAAGUGUUUUCUUUUGUACAGCAUUUUGUGGGAGUACUUCACAGUGUGGGCUACAUUUUGUCUGGAAAAAAUGAAGAAAAGAGCUACAAUAAGUAUGAGCAAUAUGAACACAGGCUCCUCUUCCGCAGGCUCAUGUUAUGACAAAAGAUUGAUUGGUGGACGAAGAUGGGCUCUCCUGAUUGGUGCUAUCAGAGGGAAUAGACCUGUGAUUACAGCAUGAAAAAGGGAACACCCAUCACUCGCUCCAUAAUUCCACCUGACGAUGCUUUGUGAGACAG